AAUACGAAGGGACCUAGCGUAGUUCGGAAUUACUGGGCUUAAAGAGUUCGUAGGUGGUUGAAAAAGUUGGUGGUGAAAUCCCAGAGCUUAACUCUGGAACUGCCAUCAAAACUUUUCAGCUAGAGUAUGAUAGAGGAAAGCAGAAUUUCUAGUGUAGAGGUGAAAUUCGUAGAUAUUAGAAAGAAUACCAAUUGCGAAGGCAGCUUUCUGGAUCAUUACUGACACUGAGGAACGAAAGCAUGGGUAGCGAAGAGGAUUAGAUACCCUCGUAGUCCAUGCCGUAAACGAUGUGUGUUAGACGUUGGAAAUUUAUUUUCAGUGUCGCAGCGAAAGCGAUAAACACACCGCCUGGGGAGUACGACCGCAAGGUUAAAACUCAAAUGAAUUGACGGGGACCCGCACAAGUAGUGGAGCAUGUGGUUUAAUUCGAAGAUACGCGCAGAACCUUACCAACACUUGACAUGUUCGUCGCGACUUUAAGAGAUUAAAGUUUUCGGUUCGGCCGGACGAAACACAGGUGCUGCAUGGCUGUCGUCAGCUCGUGUCGUGAGAUGUUGGGUUAAGUCCCGCAACGAGCGCAACCCUCACUUUUAGUUGCCAUCAUUAAGUUGGGCACUCUGAAAGAACUGCCAGUGAUAAGCUGGAGGAAGGUGGGGAUGACGUCAAGUCCUCAUGGCCCUUACGUGUUGGGCUACACACGUGCUACAAUGGUAUCUACAACAGGAAGCAAAACGGCGACGUUAAGCAAAUCCUUAAAAGAUACCUCAGUUCGGAUUGCACUCUGCAACUCGAGUGCAUGAAGCUGGAAUUACUAGUAAUCGUGGAUCAGCGUGCCACGGUGAAUGCGUUCCCGGGUCUUGUACACACCGCCCGUCACACCAUGGGAGUUGGUUCUACCUUAAGGCAAGGUUUCAAACCCUUGACCACGGUAUAGUCAGC
This 939-nucleotide ribosomal RNA is filed under the name uncultured bacterium. RNAcentral describes it as "bacterial SSU rRNA". It matches the Rfam family "Bacterial small subunit ribosomal RNA", at positions 522 to 1472 of the family's 1533-position model. The record is from RNAcentral.